CUGACUAAUGACGGUACUCACAGAAGAAGCACCCGGCUAACUACGUGCCAGCACGCCGCCGGUAAUACGUAGGGUGCAGGGCGUUAAUCGGAAUUACUGGGCGUAAAGCGUGCGCAGGCGGUUUGCUAAGACAGGUGUGAAAUCCCCGAGCUUAACUUGGGAAUUGCGCUUGUAACUGGCAAGCUAGAGUGUGGCAGAGGGGGGUGGAAUUCACGUGAGAGUAAAUGCGAGAAUGUGAGAACCCGGUGGCAAGGGGGCCCCCUGGGUUGAUCUGUCGCUACUGCUCAGAGAA
Molecule: ribosomal RNA, 292 nt
Filed under: uncultured bacterium
Lineage: Bacteria
Description: partial 16S ribosomal RNA
Rfam family: Bacterial small subunit ribosomal RNA
Source: RNAcentral